This 492-nucleotide ribosomal RNA is filed under the name uncultured bacterium. Its description in RNAcentral is "partial 16S ribosomal RNA". It matches the Rfam family "Bacterial small subunit ribosomal RNA", at positions 29 to 507 of the family's 1533-position model. The record is from RNAcentral.
AGUGAACGCUGGCGGUAGGCCUAACACAUGCAAGUCGAACGGCAGCACAGUAAGAGCUUGCUCUUACGGGUGGCGAGUGGCGGACGGGUGAGGAAUACAUCGGAAUCUACUUUUUCGUGGGGGAUAUCGUAGGGAAACUUACGCUAAUACCGCAUACGUCCUACGGGUGAAAGCAGGGGAUCUUCGGACCUUUCGCGAUUGAAUGAGCCGAUGUCGGAUUAGCUAGUUGGCUGGGUAAAGGCCCACCAAGGCGACGAUCCGUAGCUGGUCUGAGAGGAUGAUCAGCCACACUGGAACUGAGACACGGUCCAGACUCCUACGGGAGGCAGCAGUGGGGAAUAUUGGACAAUGGGCGCAAGCCUGAUCCAGCCAUACCGCGUGAGUGAAGAAGGCCUUCGGGUUGUAAAGCCCUUUUGUUAGGAAAGAAAAGCAGCAGAUUAAUACCCCGCUGUUCUGACGGUACCCAAAGAAUAAGCACCGGCUAACUUCGUG